This is a long non-coding RNA of Hyla sarda, 516 nucleotides long. RefSeq lists it as uncharacterized. NCBI's taxonomy places the organism in Eukaryota, Metazoa, Chordata, Amphibia, Anura, Hylidae. The transcript is spliced from 3 exons. The record is from RefSeq and is a predicted model, not a curated record.
AUUACCUGAAUGCCAAACGUUGUGACCAUUGACAAUUUCAGGCUGGGACCGGAUGCAGCGAUCCGACGCUUGCACACUUACUGUGUUUACAAACACAUCGUGUUCCAGAGAGGAAUGAAUAUGAUUGGAUUCCUACGUUUCUGUCAUCAGAGAAAGGAGGUUUGAACCCUGAAGCUUGUGCAAGGUAGAGUGUGUUUUGGGAAUUGAGGAAGAACAGUCAGGAUGAAAAUAGGACAUGGUAAAAAAAAAAGAGAACGAAAGAAAAAAAAAGAAAGAAAAGAAAGGAAGGAAGGAAGGAAGGAAAAGAAAGAAAGAAAAACAGAAAUGGAGAAAGAAAAGUAAUGUCAUACAUCAUAAUUCACUAAAAAAGCCAAUGGGAUUUCUAUGGUAAAUAAAUGACAGUUGCAGUUGGUAAAAUGCACAAACAUGCCCUAUGGAUCCAGCCACCUUGGAGAUAAGUUUCCUAGCUGCAGUAACCUUUACACAAUGAUUUCCUUAAAGCAACUACCCCUUCUG